Fukomys damarensis (Damara mole-rat) is the source of this 418-nucleotide long non-coding RNA. RefSeq lists it as uncharacterized. NCBI's taxonomy places the organism in Eukaryota, Metazoa, Chordata, Mammalia, Rodentia, Bathyergidae. The transcript is spliced from 3 exons. The record is from RefSeq and is a predicted model, not a curated record.
ACAGGGAGUCUUAUGUUCCAGGAAGGGGGAAGAGACCAAUCGCAAAUCUGGCCAGCUGGACAGGGAAGGAAAACAGCCAUAGGACACAGAACACAUCACACUAGGAAGAGAAAUCUUGAAGUGAAAACUUACUUCUUUUAGAGUCUCCUUUUCUCUGUCAUGAGAGGUGGAGUGAACAUAGCAUGGAGAUCCUAAUGCAGCUUUACUGAGUUGCGCAAUGGGAAAGAAACAAUGAAGAUGUAUUUUCCUAUAGUAGGUCUUUCUUCAUGGCAAGGGAUGUAAGACGAAUGCCUGCCUACCUCAGCUCCAGGUGCUGAAAGAAAAAUCUGCCUACAGCCUGCACCACAGGGCUGUGUGUUCCACGUGUCUGCAUUUCUGCCCUUGUUGGACCACUGCUGGGUCAAUAAUUAUUCCAUAG